GGACCUUUGAAGGACCAUAUCUAUCUUCACCUCAAUCACUUACCUCCAGAGGUUCUUAAGGAGAGACUUCCGGGUAUCUCUGAAACAGCUGCCAUUUUCGCUGGUGUUGAUGUAACUAAGGAACCAAUUCCUGUUUUACCUACCGUGCAUUAUAAUAUGGGAGGAAUCCCAACUAAUUACCAUGGACAGGUGGUCACUAAAAACGGGGAUGAUCCAGAUGCUGUGAUCCCUGGACUGAUGGCUGCUGGUGAAGCAGCAUGCGCAUCUGUUCAUGGUGCCAAUCGUCUUGGUGCAAAUUCUCUUCUAGAUAUUGUUGUUUUUGGACGGGCAUGUGCUAAUAGGGUUGCAGAGAUCCAAAAACCAGGCGCGGAACAAAAGCCACUUGAAAAAGAUGCUGGGGAGAGGACCAUUGCAUGGUUGGACAAGAUUAGGAACUCAAAUGGUUCAUUGCCCACCUCAAAGAUAAGGCUGGACAUGCAAAGAGUUAUGCAAAACAAUGCUGCUGUCUUCCGCACACAAGAGACAUUAGAGGAAGGUUGCCAGCUCAUUGACAAAACAUGGGAGAGUUUCCAUGAUGUUCAGUUGAAGGACAGAGGUUUAAUAUGGAACACAGAUCUUAUAGAGACUAUUGAGUUGGAAAAUCUUUUAAUUAAUGCAUGCAUCACCAUGCACUCAGCCGAGGCAAGAAAAGAAAGCAGAGGAGCUCAUGCUCGUGAAGAUUUUACGAAAAGAGAUGAUGAGAAGUGGAUGAAACACACCAUAGGAUAUUGGGAGGACGAGAAAGUUCGGCUAGAAUACAGACCAGUGCAUAUGAACACUCUAGAUGACGAAGUCGAGUCGUUCCCACCAAAGGCUCGUGUCUACUGAUAUACUCAUUUAUAGGGGGAUUUGGAUGGCGUAGAAGUUGAUAAUAAGGAAGGUUGCAAUAAAUCGCGAAAAUUGUGAAAUUUUGGUAAUAACUGUUUGAUUUAUUUGUGCGAUGAAUUGUAAGCAGCCUGUGAAGUGUUCAUAAAUAUUAGAAGCAGAACACCGUUUGUCUUGUAAUCAGGAAGCAAGGCUUCCUGACUUUUCGAUCUUGUAGAAGAUGAUGGAAUCACUUGUUUAUGCUCUUAUAUACUCUACUUCUUGCAUUUUGACACGAUUGAAGACAUUAUCUCAUUACCCUGGUUUUUUCAUUUUCUAGAAAAACUAAGCAAGCCACAGAACCAUGUGAUUUAUGCAUCUCACUAGACACGAAUGUCUGUUGAUGUUUAUUCCGACUUGGUGAACCUUUUAUUGAUCUUC
Molecule: unclassified non-coding RNA, 1284 nt
Filed under: Hevea brasiliensis (rubber tree)
Lineage: Eukaryota; Viridiplantae; Streptophyta; Magnoliopsida; Malpighiales; Euphorbiaceae
Source: RNAcentral